Long non-coding RNA from Anopheles stephensi (Asian malaria mosquito), 879 nucleotides. RefSeq lists it as uncharacterized. The record is from RefSeq and is a predicted model, not a curated record. The transcript has 3 exons. NCBI's taxonomy places the organism in Eukaryota, Metazoa, Arthropoda, Insecta, Diptera, Culicidae.
AUUAGCAGUUUCAAAAACACGAUAAUUAAAGUUCUGUUUUCGAAGUGUGAACACAUUCGAGAAGCAGUGACGGGGUGAGCUCUUCUUUCACAGGGGUGGAUAUUAAAGUGGAAGCGGUUCUGUAAAUAUCAUAACCAGUUUUAACUGCCUGCUCCUGAGGUGCACGUCUUAAAGACUUGGCCUAGUGUUCAAUCCGUGGCCAGGGAAAACGGUCCAUGGCUGCACUCCUCCACCCUCGACUGCAUCCGAUCUCCCGCAGGCCUGACUCCACUUGAUCCAGCUAACGAGCUCGCUGUGCUCCUCUACGCCUCGUGCCAAACGGGUCACUAGCGAUCACCUUCCUGGUAGGGCGUGAGUACUUCAUCCUCAUCACGUGCCGUAACCAGCGUUUUCUUCUGGCUUUGGUAACCGUCAGGAUGUCUGCAUCGCCAAACAGCUCAACUAGCACGUGGUUCAUCCUCCUUCUGCACACGCCCUGCUCGCACUCACCGCCAAAGAUAGUCUGUAGCACUCACCGCUCGUAAAUGACAAGUGCAUUGGAGUCCUCCGCCGGUAUAGUCCAGGACUCGCGCCUGUAGAGGACUACCGUCCGUAUCAGUGUGCGAUAUAUGGCGCAUUUCGUGCGUUUUAUGAGUCUUCUGGAUCUCAGGAAUUUCUGGAGCCCGUAGUAGGUACGAUUCCCUUGAACAAUGCGCCGUCGGAUUUCAUUGCUUACGUUGUUGUCCGAAGUUACGGUUGUCCAAGUUAGCAUAACUUCUAUACUACCUCAAGAUCGUCGCUGUCACCCAAUGCUCUGCUUCCGAAUCGUACUCUUUCAUGGUCAAAGUCUCCAGUAGGCAGGUACUUGUCUUCAUCGCAUUGAUCCUCAAUCGAAUCCUA